Molecule: ribosomal RNA, 430 nt
Filed under: Acidobacteriota bacterium
Lineage: Bacteria; Pseudomonadati; Acidobacteriota
Description: Acidobacteria bacterium partial 16S ribosomal RNA
Rfam family: Bacterial small subunit ribosomal RNA
Source: RNAcentral
UGGGGAAUAUUGGACAAUGGGCGCAAGCCUGAUCCAGCCAUGCCGCGUGUGUGAAGAAGGCCUUUUGGUUGUAAAGCACUUUAAGCGAGGAGGAGGCUACUUGGAUUAAUACUCUAGGAUAGUGGACGUUACUCGCAGAAUAAGCACCGGCUAACUCUGUGCCAGCAGCCGCGGUAAUACAGAGGGUGCGAGCGUUAAUCGGAUUUACUGGGCGUAAAGCGUGCGUAGGCGGCUUCUUAUGUCGGAUGUGAAAUCCCUGAGCUUAACUUAGGAAUUGCCUUCGAUACUGGGAAGCUAGAGUAUGGGAGAGGAUGGUAGAAUUCCAGGUGUAGCUGUGAAAUGCGUAGAGAUCUGGAGGAAUACCGAUGGCGAAGGCAGCCAUCUGGCCUAAUACUGACGCUGAGGUACGAAAGCAUGGGGAGCAAACAGG